AGCAUGUUUUAUGACCUUAAAGAGUAGUGAUCUCAAGGUUACCUUGAAAGGGUUGCUUGCACUAAUACUUUCCAGAGGUUGCUGGUGGAAUUACGGUUUCCAAUAGAGUGCAUGCUACAGGCUGCGCGACAACCUUGUCAUGAAGGGCCAACGUCUGCGGUCGUUGCGCCGCCAGCCUCGAAAGCAGCCGUAUCACCGUGGCUUGCGUAUGAAGCUUUGAUAUGAGCUUUUUAAUAAGAGCUUUCUUGCUGCUUGCUGUGUUAGAAGGCGGCUAUGCUCACGCAUGGAGUGUGUCAUGUUCACCUCUCACGAGUUUGAUGUACGCGUUGUUGCGCGUGCGGGGAGCUUCACAGCCUACAGUGACGGAGCCAACUGUGAGUUUGUUCCAUGUAUUUGCUAUUUAAACGACGCCAAUCAUCAUUAUUAUAUUGAGCGGUUGGUUAGUUUGGAAUGCACCGCUCAC
Leguminivora glycinivorella is the source of this 463-nucleotide long non-coding RNA. RefSeq lists it as uncharacterized. The record is from RefSeq and is a predicted model, not a curated record. The transcript is spliced from 2 exons. Lineage: Eukaryota; Metazoa; Arthropoda; Insecta; Lepidoptera; Tortricidae.